Phalaenopsis equestris is the source of this 1218-nucleotide long non-coding RNA. RefSeq lists it as uncharacterized. Lineage: Eukaryota; Viridiplantae; Streptophyta; Magnoliopsida; Asparagales; Orchidaceae. The transcript is spliced from 3 exons. The record is from RefSeq and is a predicted model, not a curated record.
UCGAUGUUCCAAUUGGAAUAGAACUCGUCUUCUUCUUCUUCUCCCGCACUCAAUCCUAUCUCCGCCUCACGUCAUUCGCGUCGACAAAAUACGUGUUCCUGCCUGUUCACUUCCCCUUCCUCUCUUCGGCUCCCUCGAGCGUAUGAAACUUGGCGUCACACUCGAGCAUUUGGGAGAUGGAGUUGCGUGCGGGUUGAGCUGAUUGACCGAGCCAGUGGAGAUUCUACUGCUACUAUAAGAACGAUGCGUACAGAUGAAUCUCCUUUUCAUUCAGAGCAGUUGGAGUCGUCAAUUGCCUCAACUAGCUCCCUAUGUGACCUGAAGAGAAUGGGGAGCCUUCAGUCAAUUUGAUUGUUUGCUUCUCUAGGGGAACUGGAGAGGUGAUCUGAUCUAGGUACUGAUUCUGUAAACUGAGUUAGCAUGUGCUCAAGAGAUUAUAUACACAUUUAUUAGAAAAAGAUUUUGAAAGAGAAGAAGAGAGACAAGAAUUGGAAAGCUUUAUUGCAGCACAAGGCCGUGACUUGGCCUUAUAAAUAGAGGGCAACACCGAAACGUGGCCUUACAAGUAGGGGUUACAAAGAUGGAAAAUAGGGAAUGAAUCAAUUCACCCAGCAUGAAAGGAGAUCUGAAUAUUACAGCUGAUUUUUAUUAAAAAAAUUACAAUAAUCUUUAGAAAUCAUCCCCUUUUUGCCCCAGCCCAGCAGCAGUCCAUUCAAGGGCAAAUUGAGAGCUGGAAGAGGGACAGCUACAAGAAAACAUGUCAAUCUAAGAGCGCUUUCGGCUGCUGAUUGUGCCAGCAGGAAAUUUCAUCAUUCAAGAGGACUGCUAUAGCUACCAACAGCAAAUUGUCCAGCUCACUUGCCAUUUAUGUGCUGAAAAUAAUUGAGAGGAGGCUCCAAAUAAGGUGGACAAUAAAUUGCAUCUGUUCUUUUUUUGUUUGGAAAGGCCUGACAACAUUCACCAUUCCUCCUCAUGUGGGUUCGUAAACAUUUUACAAGUAAUGUUGGCCAAUCAUUUUUUCAAACACAGGUGUUGAUGUCAGUCAUCUGAUUGGAGAACAAAAUAUAUAAAAUGCACAAAUCCAUUUUGAAUUUUUUCCUUUAAUAAAUAAAUUGUCCAAUUGCCUCCGCAUGUUUAGUUCAAUAGUGGUGCGUGUAUAUUGUUAAAAACUUUAUUGUCAUAAUAUAUUAUCAUUGGAAUCUUACUGUUACUUUUAGU